Molecule: long non-coding RNA, 1824 nt
Organism: Paramacrobiotus metropolitanus
Lineage: Eukaryota; Metazoa; Tardigrada; Eutardigrada; Parachela; Macrobiotidae
Exons: 2
Source: RefSeq, a predicted model, not a curated record
GAAGACGUAUUUUUCAGUAUCGAAGACUACGUCAUGGUUGCAUAUUCCUGCGUAAUUUAUAAAAUCAAUAUUUCUGCAAUAGAGCCAAAUUAUUGUUAAGUACUACAGCGCUUGUUGCAAAAUUUGUAUCUGUAACACGAAAUUUCUUGGUAUCCCACUGUCAUAGCGUCUGCAAUUACUGUAUCUCUUCGCCGGAUUUUGAUACUGAUACAGUGAUACUGAAUACCACGGAUGAUCGCAGAUACAGAUAUAUCCCGCAGACGAUCCCCCAUCGCUGAAAAUGCUACCAGUUCCCAUGCACUCCACCCACCCGGGAUGUUACAUGCUCGGUAUGACUCAGCCUGCGCUCCUUCCCACUCAGUCGAUUAACCAGCCUAUCUAUUUUCGGGUUUCUAUGGAACCCGUGUGAUAAUAAUACGCUUCUUUCACAACCCAGCGGAGAGCAAUGCACUUGAUUUGGCGUAUAUGCCGACGCUCAAUGCCAAGGCGCGUGUAAUCACCAUACGGCAGUGCGCUGAAAAUGCCGGGUGAUCUUGUGAUCGAGGAUGACUUGGACAACCACCAACCUGCUAUUCUCGACACCAUACCCGGCUUGGCAACGUGGCACUUCGCGGUAUUACGCGGGCACAUGGCUCCGCGGCGGAUGCAUAAUAUUAUAAUCGCCAACUUAUGCGAUUCGCCCGCCUGAUAAAACCGUUCAACUUAACCGGUUACAUGCGGAGUGUGCACAGCGGCGUAAAACCGUAAUCAUGCUGUGUUUGUUGGCGUUCGCUAUCGCGUGUUCGGCGUUUACCUGGACGCAGUGAAACUCGAUCUGUUUCGUGAUACAGAACUCUUCUAAUAAUUCUAGUCAUAAGGUUUUUUAAUGCCUCCUCAAAAACCGUAAAAAAUGCAUGCUGUUUGAUAAACGGUUUUUUUGCCGGCCUUUCUAUAUGUGCAGAUAUCUGGAGUGAAGCGUGUGCAAAACUUGUGUACUCUACUAAUAAUCUUUAUCCUCGGAUUCUUUAAAUGUCUCUUUGAAAACCGUAAAAACCUGCUUGUCAUUUAAUAAACGGAUUUUUUUAACAGCAGUUUAACGGAACGACAUUUUUUUACGGAUAUCUGGAGCGGAGCGUGUGCAAACGAUUAGCAUCGUUUCUCGCUGGAUCUCAGCUCAACGGAUCUGUUAAAUAAAAUUCUAUCGGAUCUUCACUGUAUCGACGCCGCACUGAUUCGCCUUAAUCUGCACCGAAAAAAAUCCGAAAUUUUUUACCGGAAAACGGUUCCGGAAAUAAUUAUGUCGGACACGGUGAAAUCCCAGCCGAUCCCCAUCCCCUUCCCCCGCAAGAGCAAACUGGAAAUCGCCGACGCCACGGAGACGCCACACCGCAGUCUGGAGCGGAAUCCGCGGUCGCGCUCCACCUCCGUGGUGGACAUCGAGCCCUCGGAGAUCCAGCGGCUGCAGCUGCACAGGAAACAGAGUUUAUUCGUCCAGCCCACAUUGGAGCAUGGGAGUAGUCCGCGUCAGGCUUUUGAAUGGUAGCGGAAGUCGCUAGAGUGUACGGUGAUGCCAGAGUGUGUAUAUAGAUACUGACAUGAACAGUCUUUCGCACAUUAAUGUGUAUUUCUUGAAGCGAAGUGUGUUAUUACUCAAAUCAAAAGCUGUAGUUGUAUUUGUUGUGCCGAAGAUGCAAUAGUUUUGAUUUUUGUUGCCUUUUUGUACAGCAGAAGACGAUGGAUUUAUGUACCAGGAUUCAAUACAUACACUGAAUAUAGAGAUUUACAUAUAUGCGCGUGAUCUGCCAGUUGACUGCUGCGGAAAAAUAUUAAAUUUAGCGCACUGUG